AGAGUUUGAUCCUGGCUCAGAUUGAACGCUGGCGGCAUGCUUAAUACAUGCAAGUCGAACGGUAACAGAUUCUUCGGAAUGCUGACGAGUGGCGGACGGGUGAGUAAUACAUAGGAAUCUGCCCAUGUAGUGGGGGACAACUUGGGGAAACUCAAGCUAAUACCGCAUAAUUCCUACGGGAUAAAGAGGGCCACUGCUUGCAAGCUCUUGCUACUGGAUGAGCCUAUGUCGGAUUAGUUAGUUGGUAAGGUAAUGGCUUACCAAGACAGCGAUCCGUAGCUGGUUUGAGAGGAUGAUCAGCCACACUGGGACUGAGACACGGCCCAGACUCCUACGGGAGGCAGCAGUAGGGAGUAUUGGACAAUGGGCGCAAGCCUGAUCCAGCAAUGCCGCGUGUGUGAAGAAGGCCUGCGGGUUGUAAAGCACUUUCAAUUGGGAAGAAAGAUUAUGAGUUAAUACCUUAUAA
Molecule: ribosomal RNA, 466 nt
Filed under: uncultured bacterium
Lineage: Bacteria
Description: bacterial SSU rRNA
Rfam family: Bacterial small subunit ribosomal RNA
Source: RNAcentral